This 274-nucleotide ribosomal RNA is filed under the name uncultured bacterium. RNAcentral's name for it is "partial 16S ribosomal RNA". It matches the Rfam family "Bacterial small subunit ribosomal RNA", at positions 523 to 796 of the family's 1533-position model. The record is from RNAcentral.
AUACGGAGGGUGCAAGCGUUAUCCGGAAUCAUUGGGUUUAAAGGGUCCGUAGGCGGACUAAUAAGUCAGGGGUGAAAUCCCACAGCUUAACUGUGGAACUGCCUUUGAUACUGUUAGUCUUGAGUUAUAUGGAAGUAGAUAGAAUGUGUAGUGUAGCGGUGAAAUGCUUAGAGAUUACACAGAAUACCGAUUGCGAAGGCAGUCUACUACAUAUAUACUGACGCUAAUGGACGAAAGCGUGGGGAGCGAACAGGAUUAGAUACCCUAGUAGUCC